GGCGAUAUAGCUCAGUUGGUAGAGUGCUUGCCUAGCAUGCAUAAGGCCCUGGGUUCAAUCCCCAGUACCA
RNAcentral lists this transfer RNA (70 nucleotides) under Ictidomys tridecemlineatus (thirteen-lined ground squirrel). RNAcentral's name for it is "Spermophilus tridecemlineatus (thirteen-lined ground squirrel) tRNA". It matches the Rfam family "tRNA". Rfam says of the family: Transfer RNA (tRNA) molecules are approximately 80 nucleotides in length. Their secondary structure includes four short double-helical elements and three loops (D, anti-codon, and T loops). Lineage: Eukaryota; Metazoa; Chordata; Mammalia; Rodentia; Sciuridae. RNAcentral also lists the same sequence under 1 other name. The record is from Rfam by way of RNAcentral.